UCCUCGUUAACCGAGGCAGUCUCGCUAGAGUGCCCACCAUUACGUGCUGGCAACUAACGACAAGGGUUGCGCUCGUUGCGGGACUUAACCCAACACCUCACGGCACGAGCUGACGACAGCCAUGCAGCACCUGUUUACAGGCCCCUUGCGGGGAGGCAACAUUUCUGCUACCGUCCUGUAUAUGUCAAGCCCAGGUAAGGUUCUUCGCGUUGCAUCGAAUUAAACCACAUGCUCCACUGCUUGUGCGGGUCCCCGUCAAUUCUUUUGAGUUUCACCCUUGCGAGCGUACUCCCCAGGCGGAACACUUAUCGCGUUAGCUACGACACAGUCAGGGUUGAGCCCAACUACAUCAAGUGUUCAUCGUUUACGGCAAGGACUAC
Molecule: unclassified non-coding RNA, 380 nt
Filed under: uncultured Parachlamydiaceae bacterium
Lineage: Bacteria; Pseudomonadati; Chlamydiota; Chlamydiia; Parachlamydiales; Parachlamydiaceae
Description: contains 16S-23S intergenic spacer region
Source: RNAcentral